UACGGAGGAUGCAAGCGUUAUCCGGAAUGAUUGGGCGUAAAGAGUCCGUAGGUGGCCAACUAAGUCAGACGUGAAAUCCCUCGGCUUAACCGGGGAACUGCGUCCGAUACUGGAUGGCUAGAGAUUGGGAGAGGGAUGCGGAAUUCCAGGUGUAGCGGUGAAAUGCGUAGAUAUCUGGAGGAACACCGGUGGCGAAGGCGGCAUCCUGGACCAACACUGACGCUGAGGAGCGAAAGCCAGGGGAGCAAACGGG
Molecule: ribosomal RNA, 253 nt
Filed under: uncultured bacterium
Lineage: Bacteria
Description: partial 16S ribosomal RNA
Rfam family: Bacterial small subunit ribosomal RNA
Source: RNAcentral